UCCUUCGAAUAGGGUCCGCUACUCUGGGAGGUUUGUGUUGACUACAGACUUUGCCAAGGUGAAGGGAUCAGUGUGUUCGCUGACGUUCUGUGUUCUGAGCAGCGGGUUCUGAGUUCCAGCAUCAGGAGCCUCCAUGACCAGCCUGACCUGAGCACCUACAGGCAGCACCAGCAUGGGUACUACAAGAGGGCAUACACACUACUCAGACUAUGAUGAAAUUAAUGGCCUGAUUCUUCACCCUUGUUGGUAUCCACCAUCUCAGCCAUGCAACUUUGCACUGCUCUACUACUCAGCAGCAGGUCAAGUGCUGACCCAGCACCCCUUUGCACCAGUCUUUCAAACCCUGGCCACACUAACUAAUCAACCUGAUUGCUGUUUAUACCAAGAUCUAGACCAUACAAAGCAACCUGAAUUCAUUUUCAUCCCUGCUGAUGUCAGUGCCUGGUGGAACCAAUCUGGAAAAAGCAUGAAUGAUAAUAUGUGGUACCCACAGCCAGAGAAGAAGCAACAUACGACUUCACCUGCUGGUGAGACAACUGGUCUGUAAAAACUGUGGAGAUAUCUUUUGCUCAGGGACACAUAACAACCAGAUAUGUGAAUAUGCCAGUGAAGAGGACAAGACAUGACAAUCCCCAGGCUGGAAGGUCACAGGUUCUAACCUGACUGUCUAUAAAUAAUACUGGUCUUUUUAUCUUGUGUGGUAAUAAGGUAUACAAAUGGUUCCCACUCAAAUGGUUAGGAUGCUAUAGUCUUGGCUAUCUGACACGCUCUAUUACCAAGUAUUCCACUUUAAAUUCCAGUCAAAUUACAAUCUUGGGCUCUGUUGCUCAUAAGGUUGUACCUUAUAAACAUACAAAAUGUGACAUUAUAAAAAAUCCCCUUGUAUAUCAUAACUCAAAGUUCUUUUCAAUGCUCAGGAUCCUUUAUUCAGCAUUUGGAACUUAACAGAAUUGAAAGUGCAGUCAUAAAUCUCUCCAUGGUAAUAGAAUAAGAGCUAAACAUCACCAUGUGGGCAUUGGGAACACUUCAAGCAGAGGUUAACAGCCUAGCAUCUGUUGUAAUUCAAAAUCACCACAUCCUGGAUGCUUUGAUAGCUCAACAAAGAAGAGCUUGUGCUGUUAUUUGGGGGAAAAUGUUGUUUUUGCAUAAAUCAGUCAGGGA
Nycticebus coucang (slow loris) is the source of this 1161-nucleotide long non-coding RNA. RefSeq lists it as uncharacterized. The transcript has 3 exons. NCBI's taxonomy places the organism in Eukaryota, Metazoa, Chordata, Mammalia, Primates, Lorisidae. The record is from RefSeq and is a predicted model, not a curated record.